GCCCACAUAGCUCAGUCGGUAGAGUGCUGCCUUGGUAAGGCAGAGGUCGGCGGUUCAAGUCCGCUUGUGGGCUCCA
This 76-nucleotide transfer RNA is filed under the name Clostridiaceae bacterium. RNAcentral's name for it is "tRNA-Thr". It matches the Rfam family "tRNA". From Rfam's summary of the family: Transfer RNA (tRNA) molecules are approximately 80 nucleotides in length. Their secondary structure includes four short double-helical elements and three loops (D, anti-codon, and T loops). RNAcentral also lists the same sequence under 4 other names. The record is from RNAcentral. Lineage: Bacteria; Bacillati; Bacillota; Clostridia; Eubacteriales; Clostridiaceae.